This 332-nucleotide ribosomal RNA is filed under the name uncultured bacterium. RNAcentral's name for it is "bacterial SSU rRNA". It matches the Rfam family "Bacterial small subunit ribosomal RNA", at positions 568 to 898 of the family's 1533-position model. The record is from RNAcentral.
CGUGUAGGCGGUUGGGUAAGUCAGAUGUGAAAGCCUUCCGCUCAACGGAAGAAGGGCAUUUGAAACUACCCAGCUAGAGUACGGGAGAGGAAAGUGGAAUUCCCGGUGUAGAGGUGAAAUUCGUAGAUAUCGGGAGGAACACCUGUGGCGAAGGCGGCUUUCUGGUCCGAUACUGACGCUGAGACGCGAAAGCGUGGGUAGCAAACAGGAUUAGAUACCCUGGUAGUCCACGCCGUAAACGAUGGGCACUAGGUGUAGGAGGUAUUGACCCCUUCUGUGCCGAAGUUAACGCAUUAAGUGCCCCGCCUGGGGAGUACGGCCGCAAGGCUAAA